Molecule: long non-coding RNA, 1443 nt
Organism: Solanum pennellii
Lineage: Eukaryota; Viridiplantae; Streptophyta; Magnoliopsida; Solanales; Solanaceae
Exons: 2
Source: RefSeq, a predicted model, not a curated record
GAUACUCAAAUUCAGAAUUUAAAUUUGAUACUUAAAUUUUAGUUACAAUAUAUCAUCUCAGCGGAGCUCCGGCGACAAAUACUUAUCAAAGGGCAUCGUUAUUAUAUAUCCGGAAAAAAUCGUUUAUUAAUAUAUCCCCUUCACAUGGUACUAUUAUUGUUGCUAUUUUUAUUUUUUCAUGGAGUUGAUUUGCCCAAAUUCCUGGGAGUGAAAUUAGUCACAAGAUUAACUUAAAUCAAGUGAAGGGAAAUCAGUUACCCUUGAUUUUAGCUAUAAUAGUUACAGAAAAAAAAAUAUUCUGUCAUUUAUAUUUAAGUAUCAUUUCUAUUUUAUAAAGUAUCCGAAAUUCUUAAAAAUAAGGGAUUUUUGGUAAAUAUUGAUAUUAUAGGGAUAGAAUGUAAUUUAUCAUUUACAGUAUGUCAUUUGCCUAAUUUUUACUUUCUUCUUUGCAGCGAAGAACACGUAAACUCGCAAACCCAGAAAAAUCGACCCAGAAGUCCUGUGCGCCGCAACUCCAGCAAAGAGUCGCGUGACCCUCUCCCUCUCCUUUAUCAUUUGUACGAAGAACCAGGUGUCUCGAUCUUGCACCUCCUUCGUCGUUUUCUCUCAAUACAGCGGCUCAAAUAGUUUUCCCGUAGAAGAAUCGGACAAGAAUUGUACAAUUUCCAGCUUUCAACACUUGUCCUCCAAAUAAAUUUCAAAUUUAGAAUUCAAAAUUUCAUCCAAAUCCUCGCCUGUUUUCCGCCCUAAAUCAACCCUAUUUUUUCAUCUUUUUAAGAUGGUUUUUGUCUUUAUUUUUUAAGGUUAGAGAGAGAGAGCACGAAAAUAAAAGGGAUACAGAGAGAGAGUUAGAAGAAAUAAUAGGAAUGAUCAAGCUUUAAGAGAUAAAUACAAGCAGAAAUUUCCAGCAACACUAUUAUAUAAAAACAUUUAGGAUAGUUUUGUUGGGAUCGAGAUUCUGGUUUAGUUCUUUAUUCUUUUUGUUCCAAGCUGUUUGUCGGAAUUAUAGGAAUCAUAUCGUGGUGGUGGAAGCUCGUUGUUCUUCUCGUGUUGUCUCCAUUUCGCUCCAUUAAGAAAGAACUCGUUCCUUCCCUAUGCAUUUCGGAUGGGUCAUAAAGGCCCCAAUUCUAUUUUAUCCGAGUCAGUCAGCUAAAAAUGGGCGUACAAAUUUCGAAGUUCGAAGAAAUCAAUGAACAGGACAAGAAGUUGAAGAUUUUGAGCCAAGAAGCCCCAAAUUUAUUUUUCUAAAUUUGUAUUUUGAAUUUUUUGGGCCUAAGCCCUUGUCCCUUUUAUUACUUACUAGUUCUAGAAACGUGCCUUGCACGUUUGACCUCUGUUAUUGUUAUUAUUUAUAUAGUCCCAAGAUAUAAAAUUGCUCAAUAUUGUCUGAUGUACUCCUAUAUAUCUUUUUGUGCAUAUAAAAUAAACUUGGUUUAGUGUUUA